GUAGGUGGCAAGCGUUGUCCGGAAUUAUUGGGCGUAAAGCGCGCGCAGGCGGUUCUUUAAGUCUGAUGUGAAAGCCCACGGGCUCAACCGUGGAGGGUCAUUGGAAACUGGAGAACUUGAGUACAGAAGAGGAAAGCGGAAUUCCACGUGUAGCGGUGAAAUGCGUAGAGAUGUGGAGGAACACCAGUGGCGAAGGCGGCUUUCUGGUCUGUAACUGACGCUGAGGCGCGAAAGCGUGGGGAGCAAACAGGAUUAGAUACCCUGGUAGUCCACGCCGUAACGAUGAGUGCUAAGUGUUAGGGGGUUUCCGCCCCUUAGUGCUGCAGCUAACGCAUUAAGCGCUCCGCCUGGGGAGUACGGCCGCAAAGGCUG
RNAcentral lists this ribosomal RNA (372 nucleotides) under uncultured organism. RNAcentral's name for it is "partial 16S ribosomal RNA". It matches the Rfam family "Bacterial small subunit ribosomal RNA", at positions 527 to 896 of the family's 1533-position model. The record is from RNAcentral.